UACCUACGGGGCGCAGCAGUGGGGAAUAUUGGGCAAUGGGCGCAAGCCUGACCCAGCAACGCCGCGUGAAGGAAGAAGGCUUUCGGGUUGUAAACUUCUUUUCUCAGAGACGAAGCAAGUGACGGUACCUGAGGAAUAAGCCACGGCUAACUACGUGCCAGCAGCCGCGGUAAUACGUAGGUGGCAAGCGUUAUCCGGAUUUACUGGGUGUAAGGGGCGUGUAGGCGGGAAAGCAAGUCAGAUGUGAAAACCACGGGCUCAACCUGUGGCCUGCGUUUGAAACUGUUUUUCUUUAGUACUGGAGA
RNAcentral lists this ribosomal RNA (305 nucleotides) under uncultured bacterium. RNAcentral's name for it is "bacterial SSU rRNA". It matches the Rfam family "Bacterial small subunit ribosomal RNA", at positions 335 to 655 of the family's 1533-position model. The record is from RNAcentral.